GAACGCACAGCGAAAGGNGCUUGCACCUUUCAAGUGAGUGGCGAACGGGUGAGUAACACGUGGACAACCUACCUCAAGGCUGGGGAUAACAUUUGGAAACAGAUGCUAAUACCGAAUAAAACUUAGUGUCGCAUGACACAAAGUUAAAAGGCGCUUCGGCGUCACCUAGAGAUGGAUCCGCGGUGCAUUAGUUAGUUGGUGGGGUAAAGGCCUACCAAGACAAUGAUGCAUAGCCGAGUUGAGAGACUGAUCGGCCACAUUGGGACUGAGACACGGCCCAAACUCCUACGGGAGGCUGCAGUAGGGAAUCUUCCACAAUGGGCGAAAGCCUGAUGGAGCAACGCCGCGUGUGUGAUGAAGGCUUUCGGGUCGUAAAGCACUGUUGUAUGGGAAGAACAGCUAGAAUAGGAAAUGAUUUUAGUUUGACGGUACCAUACCAGAAAGGGACGGCUAAAUACGUGCCAGCAGCCGCGGUAAUACGUAUGUCCCGAGCGUUAUCCGGAUUUAUUGGGCGUAAAGCGAGCGCAGACGGUUUAUUAAGUCUGAUGUGAAAGCCCGGAGCUCAACUCCGGAAUGGCAUUGGAAACUGGUUAACUUGAGUGCAGUANAGGUAAGUGGAACUCCAUGUGUAGCGGUGGAAUGCGUAGAUAUAUGGAAGAACACCAGUGGCGAANGCGGCUUACUGGACUGCAACUGACGUUGAGGCUCGAAAGUGUGGGUAGCAAACAGGAUUAGAUACCCUGGUAGUCCACACCGUANCGAUGAACACUNNUGUUANGAGGUUUCCGCCUCUUANGCCGAAGCUAACGCAUUAAGUGUUCCGCCUGGGGAGUACGACCNCAAGGU
Molecule: ribosomal RNA, 846 nt
Filed under: Leuconostoc mesenteroides
Lineage: Bacteria; Bacillati; Bacillota; Bacilli; Lactobacillales; Lactobacillaceae
Description: bacterial SSU rRNA
Rfam family: Bacterial small subunit ribosomal RNA
Source: RNAcentral